UAUACUUGGGUGAGAGUGGUC
This 21-nucleotide unclassified non-coding RNA is filed under the name Dictyostelium discoideum. The record is from RNAcentral. Lineage: Eukaryota; Evosea; Eumycetozoa; Dictyosteliales; Dictyosteliaceae.